This 492-nucleotide ribosomal RNA is filed under the name uncultured bacterium. Its description in RNAcentral is "partial 16S ribosomal RNA". It matches the Rfam family "Bacterial small subunit ribosomal RNA", at positions 29 to 507 of the family's 1533-position model. The record is from RNAcentral.
AGUGAACGCUGGCGGUAGGCCUAACACAUGCAAGUCGAACGGCAGCACAGUAAGAGCUUGCUCUUACGGGUGGCGAGUGGCGGACGGGUGAGGAAUACAUCGGGAUCUACUUUUUCGUGGGGGAUAACGUAGGGAAACUUACGCUAAUACCGCAUACGACCUACGGGUGAAAGCAGGGGAUCUUCGGACCUUGCGCGAUUGAAUGAGCCGAUGUCGGAUUAGCCAGUUGGCGGGGUAAAGGCCCACCAAGGCGACGAUCCGUAGCUGGUCUGAGAGGAUGAUCAGCCACACUGGAACUGAGACACGGUCCAGACUCCUACGGGAGGCAGCAGUGGGGAAUAUUGGACAAUGGGCGCAAGCCUGAUCCAGCCAUACCGCGUGGGUGAAGAAGGCCUUCGGGUUGUAAAGCCCUUUUGUUGGGAAAGAAAAGCAGCAGGUUAAUACCCCGCUGUUCUGACGGUACCCAAAGAAUAAGCACCGGCUAACUUCGUG